AUUUUCUUAGUAUAAUGAGUACAAAUGACUUCCAAUCAUUUAGCCUUGGUUUAAACCCGAGAGAAAAUA
This 69-nucleotide transfer RNA is filed under the name Limnonectes fragilis (fragile wart frog). Its description in RNAcentral is "tRNA-Gly". It matches the Rfam family "tRNA". Rfam says of the family: Transfer RNA (tRNA) molecules are approximately 80 nucleotides in length. The record is from RNAcentral. Lineage: Eukaryota; Metazoa; Chordata; Amphibia; Anura; Dicroglossidae.